RNAcentral lists this transfer RNA (74 nucleotides) under Caldithrix sp. RNAcentral's name for it is "tRNA-Val". It matches the Rfam family "tRNA". From Rfam's summary of the family: Transfer RNA (tRNA) molecules are approximately 80 nucleotides in length. Their secondary structure includes four short double-helical elements and three loops (D, anti-codon, and T loops). Lineage: Bacteria; Pseudomonadati; Calditrichota; Calditrichia; Calditrichales; Calditrichaceae. The record is from RNAcentral.
GGGGCGGUAGCUCAGUUGGUUAGAGCGCUACGUUGACAUCGUAGAGGUCGAGAGUUCAAAUCCCUCCCGUCCCA